This 253-nucleotide ribosomal RNA is filed under the name uncultured bacterium. Its description in RNAcentral is "partial 16S ribosomal RNA". It matches the Rfam family "Bacterial small subunit ribosomal RNA", at positions 524 to 776 of the family's 1533-position model. The record is from RNAcentral.
UACGUAGGGUGCAAGCGUUGUCCGGAAUUAUUGGGCGUAAAGAGCUCGUAGGCGGUCUGUCGCGUCGGCUGUGAAAACCCGGAGCUCAACUCCGGGCCUGCAGUCGAUACGGGCAGACUGGAGUUCGGCAGGGGAGACUGGAAUUCCACGUGUAGCAGUGAAAUGCGUAGAGAUGUGGAGGAACACCGAUGGCGAAGGCAGCCCCCUGGGCUGAGAUUGACGCUCAGGCACGAAAGCGUGGGGAGCAAACAGG